RNAcentral lists this ribosomal RNA (972 nucleotides) under uncultured eukaryote. RNAcentral's name for it is "partial Bacterial large subunit ribosomal RNA". It matches the Rfam family "Bacterial large subunit ribosomal RNA", at positions 1956 to 2925 of the family's 2925-position model. The record is from RNAcentral.
GUAGCGAAAUUCCUUGUCGGGUAAGUUCCGACCUGCACGAAUGGCGUAACGAUGGCCACACUGUCUCCUCCAGAGACUCAGCGAAGUUGAAAUGUUUGUGAUGAUGCAAUCUCCCCGCGGAAAGACGGAAAGACCCCAUGAACCUUUACUGUAGCUUUGUAUUGGACUUUGAACAGAUCUGUGUAGGAUAGGUGGGAGGCUUUGAAGUGCGGUCGCUAGAUCGCAUGGAGCCAACGUUGAAAUACCACCCUGGUGUGUUUGAGGUUCUAACCUAGGCCCAUUAUCUGGGUCGGGGACAGUGCAUGGUAGGCAGUUUGACUGGGGCGGUCUCCUCCCAAAGUGUAACGGAGGAGUUCGAAGGUACGCUAGUUACGGUCGGACAUCGUGACGAUAGUGCAAUGGCAUAAGCGUGCUUAACUGCGAGACUGACAAGUCGAGCAGAUGCGAAAGCAGGACAUAGUGAUCCGGUGGUUCUGUAUGGAAGGGCCAUCGCUCAACGGAUAAAAGGUACUCCGGGGAUAACAGGCUGAUACCGCCCAAGAGUUCAUAUCGACGGCGGUGUUUGGCACCUCGAUGUCGGCUCAUCACAUCCUGGGGCUGUAGCCGGUCCCAAGGGUAUGGCUGUUCGCCAUUUAAAGAGGUACGCGAGCUGGGUUUAGAACGUCGUGAGACAGUUCGGUCCCUAUCCGCUGCGCGCGUAGGAAAUUUGAGAGGAUCUGACCCUAGUACGAGAGGACCGGGUUGGACGAACCUCUGGUGUGCCAGUUGUUCUGCCAAGAGCACCGCUGGUUAGCUACGUUCGGGAUGGAUAACCGCUGAAAGCAUCUAAGCGGGAAGCCGGCUUCGAGAUGAGAUUUCCUUGCCCCUUUGAGGGUGUGAGGCCCCCAGCUAGAACACUGGGUUGAUAGGCUGGAUGUGGAAGCGAGGACUGAAGACUCGUGAAGCUGACCAGUACUAAUAGGCCGAUGACUU